AGAGUUUGAUCAUGGCUCAGAUUGAACGCUGGCGGCAGGCCUAACACAUGCAAGUCGAGCGGUAGCACAGAGAGCUUGCUCUCGGGUGACGAGCGGCGGACGGGUGAGUAAUGUCUGGGGAACUGCCUGAUGGAGGGGGAUAACUACUGGAAACGGUAGCUAAUACCGCAUAACGUCGCAAGACCAAAGAGGGGGACCUUCGGGCCUCUUGCCAUCAGAUGUGCCCAGAUGGGAUUAGCUAGUAGGUGGGGUAACGGCUCACCUAGGCGACGAUCCCUAGCUGGUCUGAGAGGAUGACCAGCCACACUGGAACUGAGACACGGUCCAGACUCCUACGGGAGGCAGCAGUGGGGAAUAUUGCACAAUGGGCGCAAGCCUGAUGCAGCCAUGCCGCGUGUAUGAAGAAGGCCUUCGGGUUGUAAAGUACUUUCAGCGGGGAGGAAGGCGAUAAGGUUAAUAACCUUGUCGAUUGACGUUACCCGCAGAAGAAGCACCGGCUAACUCCGUGCCAGCAGCCGCGGUAAUACGGAGGGUGCAAGCGUUAAUCGGAAUUACUGGGCGUAAAGCGCACGCAGGCGGUCUGUCAAGUCGGAUGUGAAAUCCCCGGGCUCAACCUGGGAACUGCAUUCGAAACUGGCAGGCUUGAGUCUCGUAGAGGGGGGUAGAAUUCCAGGUGUAGCGGUGAAAUGCGUAGAGAUCUGGAGGAAUACCGGUGGCGAAGGCGGCCCCCUGGACGAAGACUGACGCUCAGGUGCGAAAGCGUGGGGAGCAAACAGGAUUAGAUACCCUGGUAGUCCACGCCGUAAACGAUGUCUAUUUGGAGGUUGUGCCCUUGAGGCGUGGCUUCCGGAGCUAACGCGUUAAAUAGACCGCCUGGGGAGUACGGCCGCAAGGUUAAAGCUCAAAUGAAUUGACGGGGGCCCGCACAAGCGGUGGAGCAUGUGGUUUAAUUCGAUGCAACGCGAAGAACCUUACCUACUCUUGACAUCCAGAGAACUUAGCAGAGAUGCUUUGGUGCCUUCGGGAACUCUGAGACAGGUGCUGCAUGGCUGUCGUCAGCUCGUGUUGUGAAAUGUUGGGUUAAGUCCCGCAACGAGCGCAACCCUUAUCCUUUGUUGCCAGCGGUUCGGCCGGGAACUCAAAGGAGACUGCCAGUGAUAAACUGGAGGAAGGUGGGGAUGACGUCAAGUCAUCAUGGCCCUUACGAGUAGGGCUACACACGUGCUACAAUGGCGUAUACAAAGAGAAGCGACCUCGCGAGAGCAAGCGGACCUCAUAAAGUACGUCGUAGUCCGGAUUGGAGUCUGCAACUCGACUCCAUGAAGUCGGAAUCGCUAGUAAUCGUGGAUCAGAAUGCUACGGUGAAUACGUUCCCGGGCCUCGUACACACCGCCCGUCACACCAUGGGAGUGGGUUGCAAAAGAAGUAGGUAGCUUAACCUUCGGGAGGGCGCUUACCACUUUGUGAUUCAUGACUGGGGUGAAGUCGUAACAAGGUAAC
This 1500-nucleotide ribosomal RNA is filed under the name uncultured Gammaproteobacteria bacterium. Its description in RNAcentral is "bacterial SSU rRNA". It matches the Rfam family "Bacterial small subunit ribosomal RNA". The record is from RNAcentral. Lineage: Bacteria; Pseudomonadati; Pseudomonadota; Gammaproteobacteria.